GCUCUCGUAGCUCAGAUGGAUAGAGCGCUUGCCUCCGAAGCAAGAGGUCAUGGGUUCGAAUCCCGUCGAGAGUA
This 74-nucleotide transfer RNA is filed under the name Bacteroidota bacterium. RNAcentral's name for it is "Bacteroidetes bacterium (activated sludge metagenome) tRNA-Arg". It matches the Rfam family "tRNA". From Rfam's summary of the family: Transfer RNA (tRNA) molecules are approximately 80 nucleotides in length. Their secondary structure includes four short double-helical elements and three loops (D, anti-codon, and T loops). Further hydrogen bonds mediate the characteristic L-shaped molecular structure. tRNAs have two regions of fundamental functional importance: the anti-codon, which is responsible for specific mRNA codon recognition, and the 3' end, to which the tRNAs corresponding amino acid is attached (by aminoacyl-tRNA synthetases). tRNAs cope with the degeneracy of the genetic code in two manners: having more than one tRNA (with a specific anti-codon) for a particular amino acid; and 'wobble' base-pairing, i.e. permitting non-standard base-pairing at the 3rd anti-codon position. The record is from RNAcentral. Lineage: Bacteria; Pseudomonadati; Bacteroidota.